AUGAUGGACUAUAGGACAGGACUGCUGCUGUUAACUAUCUGCUGGGCAGGUGUUGAUGGUCAGACUCUGACAGAAUCUGAACCAGUGGUUAAAAGGCCUGGAGAAUCUCACAGAUUGACCUGUACAGCCUCUGGAUUCACAUUCAGCAGCCACUCUGUGAACUGGGUCAGACAGGCUCCUAGAAAAGGACUGGAGUGGGUUGCAUAUAUCAGAUAUGACAGUGCCUACAUCUACUACUCAGAUUCAGUGAAAGGCCGGUUUACCAUCUCCAGAGACAACAGCAGACAGCAGGUGUAUCUGCAGAUGAACAGUCUGAGGACUGAAGACUCUGCUGUUUAUUAUUGUGCUCGAGACUCACAGUGAUUGGAGUUGGUUGAGCAGCUGUACAAAAAUCUGCAGUCCUCAUCUUUCA
Molecule: non-coding RNA, 412 nt
Organism: Chelmon rostratus (copperband butterflyfish)
Lineage: Eukaryota; Metazoa; Chordata; Actinopteri; Chaetodontiformes; Chaetodontidae
Source: the annotation of a RefSeq genome assembly